Molecule: long non-coding RNA, 720 nt
Organism: Papilio xuthus (Asian swallowtail)
Lineage: Eukaryota; Metazoa; Arthropoda; Insecta; Lepidoptera; Papilionidae
Exons: 4
Source: RefSeq, a predicted model, not a curated record
CUCGCUCGCGCUGCACUUGCUCGCCGCCGUGCCGCAGAUACGCAUCAGACAUGACCCGGAUAUAAGACUUAAUAUAAGAAUCGGUAUUCAUACAGGGCCGUGUUCUGCGGGUGUGGUCGGGUACCGGCCGCCACGUUACUGCUUGUUCGGUGACACAGUACGCACAGCUGCGCGCGUGCAGGCGGCCGGCGAGCCGCAGCGCGUACACGUCAGCCAUGACACAUACCUCACACUGCGCAAACAUGGCGGAUAUCACUUCAAGGAAAGAACUCUCACUAAUGUCAAAGGCCAUCGACAAAACAAGACAUGGUGGUUAGUUGGUGAAGAUCAUGAAAGGAGAAAGGAGCCCUUCUAUCGUUUCCAACCCGGCCUAAACCGCGGUUCAGCGUGUGCCAGUUACGCUGACAGUUCUUGGGGUCUGGAGCGUUCAAUAUUGAACAUUAGGGACAGGGCCCGACUGUCUUGCGGAGGUUCUUUAGGUCCCGGCUCCGCGCUGUCAUCUCCGGGCCCUCCCGCCUGCGCCUGUUUCGUCCCACAAAGGGACCAUCACUCGGCACCUGUUGUCUCAUUCUGCGAAGACUGACCUUAAUAUAAUAAAUGGAGGAAUGUAUCCGUUACAAGUGCAGUAAUUCACGAAUGACUCCAAUCAUAACCUCAAAACAGUAUAACCAGUGAAAAAGUUAAAAUAACUGUUAUUAAUUGUGCACUACUCUGUGACUA